Molecule: long non-coding RNA, 323 nt
Organism: Boleophthalmus pectinirostris (great blue-spotted mudskipper)
Lineage: Eukaryota; Metazoa; Chordata; Actinopteri; Gobiiformes; Gobiidae
Exons: 2
Source: RefSeq, a predicted model, not a curated record
AAGGCUAAGGGAUAUCACACAGCUGUCUGACGUCAGUGCUGUACAGACCACAAGCUGCAUCGAAAGAGAAAAUUUACCUCACGUCUGGGUGCAUCCGGUUCAGUGCAGGAGGGAGGUGGACCGGUAGUCAACUUGGUGCAGUGGCAACAAUCUGGAGGUCAAUGCCCAGAAGACAGUGAACAUGAUCGUGGACCAGGUCACAACACCCGUCUGAAUAUGACAAUGGCAAAAAAAAAACGUAUUUUGAUUCUGUUAUGAUUUAAUGUGCUCUCAUGUAAAAGACUAACAGACUGGCAAUAAAGGUUCAAUUCAUUCAUGUCUAA